UACAGAGGAUGCAAGCGUUAUCCGGAAUGAUUGGGCGUAAAGCGUCUGUAGGUGGCUUUUUAAGUCCGCCGUCAAAUCCCAGGGCUCAACUCUGGACAGGCGGUGGAAACUACCAAGCUGGAGUACGGUAGGGGCAGAGGGAAUUUCCGGUGGAGCGGUGAAAUGCGUAGAGAUCGGAAGGAACACCAGUGGCGAAGGCGGCUACCUGGCCUGAUACUGACACUGAAGCACGAAAGCGUGGGGAGCAAACAGG
This 253-nucleotide ribosomal RNA is filed under the name uncultured bacterium. RNAcentral describes it as "partial 16S ribosomal RNA". It matches the Rfam family "Bacterial small subunit ribosomal RNA", at positions 524 to 776 of the family's 1533-position model. The record is from RNAcentral.